Molecule: ribosomal RNA, 460 nt
Filed under: uncultured bacterium
Lineage: Bacteria
Description: partial 16S ribosomal RNA
Rfam family: Bacterial small subunit ribosomal RNA
Source: RNAcentral
CCUACGGGUGGCUGCAGUGAGGAAUAUUGGUCAAUGGACGCAAGUCUGAACCAGCCAUGCCGCGUGCAGGAUGACGGCUCUAUGAGUUGUAAACUGCUUUUUUACGAGGGUAAACCCCGAUAUGUGUAUCGUGUUGAAAGUAUCGUACGAAUAAGGAUCGGCUAACUCCGUGCCAGCAGCCGCGGUAAUACGGAGGUUCCGAGCGUUAUCCGGAUUUAUUGGGGUUAAAGGGUGCGUAGGCGGUUUGAUAAGUUAGACGUGAAAUGUCCGGGCGCAACCCCUAAACUGCCUAUAAUACUGUUAGACUAGAGAAUAGUUGCGGUAGGCGGAAUGUAUGGUGUAGCGGUGAAAUGCGUAGAGAUCAUACAGAACACCGAUUGCGAAGGCAGCCUACCAAAAUAUAUCUGACGUUGAGGCACGAAAGCGUGGGUAGCAAACAGGAUUAGAUACCCCAGUAGUC